Pogona vitticeps (central bearded dragon) is the source of this 92-nucleotide small nucleolar RNA. The record is from Ensembl. NCBI's taxonomy places the organism in Eukaryota, Metazoa, Chordata, Lepidosauria, Squamata, Agamidae.
UCAGUGGUACAUGAUGACUUUAUCUUUUUUCCCCAUCAUAUCGGCAGUGCUGAUCAAAAAUGCAUUCUAGCCAGAAAGUCUGAUUCCACUGA